UACGGGAGGCAGCAGUGGGGAAUAUUGCACAAUGGGCGCAAGCCUGAUGCAGCCAUGCCGCGUGUAUGAAAAAGGCCUUCCGGGUUGUAAAGUACUUUCAGUCGUGAGGAAGGUGUUAAGGUUAAUAACCUUAGCAAUUGACGUUAGCGACAGAAGAAGCACCGGCUAACUCCGUGCCAGCAGCCGCGGUAAUACGGAGGGUGCGAGCGUUAAUCGGAAUUACUGGGCGUAAAGGGCACGCAGGCGGUUAAUUAAGUUGGAUGUGAAAUCCCCGGGCUUAACCUGGGAAUGGCAUUCAAGACUGGUUAGCUAGAGUCUUGUAGAGGGGGUAGAAUUCCAUGUGUAGCGGUGAAAUGCGUAGAGAUGUGGAGGAAUACCGGUGGCGAAGGCGGCCCCUGGACAAAGACUGACGCUCAUGUGCGAAAGCGUGGGGAGCAAACAGGGAUUAGAUACC
This 454-nucleotide ribosomal RNA is filed under the name uncultured bacterium. RNAcentral describes it as "bacterial SSU rRNA". It matches the Rfam family "Bacterial small subunit ribosomal RNA", at positions 340 to 786 of the family's 1533-position model. The record is from RNAcentral.